UCUCCGUAGGUGAACCUGCGGAGGGAUCAUUACAGAGUUCUCGACCUCGCGGGUAGUUCUCCCAUCCACUGUUAUCGUUACUGUCGUUUCUUUGUCGGGCCGUGGGGUCUCUGGCCGGCGGCGUUCAAUAGGCGGCGCGCGCUCGCCAGAGGCCUGCGAACCCUGAAAGUUAGUGCCGUCUGAGUACUAUAUAAUAGUUAAAACUUUCAACAAAGGAUCUUUUGGUUCUGGCAUCGAAGAAGAUCGCACCAGACCGGAAUAGCACACGUGAGAACUCCA
Molecule: unclassified non-coding RNA, 279 nt
Filed under: plant metagenome
Description: partial contains small subunit ribosomal RNA, internal transcribed spacer 1, and 5.8S ribosomal RNA
Source: RNAcentral